This 1420-nucleotide long non-coding RNA is filed under the name Gallus gallus (chicken). Lineage: Eukaryota; Metazoa; Chordata; Aves; Galliformes; Phasianidae. The record is from RNAcentral.
AAAUAGUGCAAGCAGCACAACUGACAAAUUAGUGGAUCUCAAUAUGGACCUGCAGCCGCACGUUGAGCAUCAUGGAGGCGACGAUGUAGAGGUACGGGAAGUUGAUGCGGAGCUUCCAGGCCAGGUCGAAGAAAAUGAGGAGGGUUCUGGUCAGCCCCUUGCAGAACACGCCAUACGACCUGGCCGCGGCCGACUGGGAGAGCCUGGCAGCCAGGGCGGACAGAGACACCGCCAUAUACCCCCGCCGCGGCCCCGCCGCAACGCCCGGGCCCUCCUCCGCCGCCCCCUCCCCGCGCUCGGCGCUGGGUGUCGCCAGCGGGGAGGAACCCGCGGCCGCCGGCGCCCUGAGUGUGACGUUACCGCGGCACGCGACGCGACGCCCCCGCCUCUCCCCAGCGCGCAUGUCUGAGGGAAGGGCGGGGCCUCGGGGGAGGCGCGCGCUGACCGUUGGAGCCCGCGGUGUCACCUCAGCGCGGCCGCUGUGCCUGCAGGGUAACGUGCCCCAAAAAUAGACAACGAGUGCCGUGUUUGAAGAUGUUGAAUCUUAAGAAAAAAAGGCCCUUUUCUCUCAGCGCUGGUUUCCACUCAACUAGCUUUGGGUGACUGUAACAUGAAACAGAAAAACUAACCUGUGGAUGUAAAUUCAUGGUAAAAUGCUGUUUAAUUGUCACAGAAUCACUCUGGCACACAGAAAUCCCCAUACAAAGUUGGAUGUGCUCCAGAAAGUGCUGACAGUAGGUUCCUUUUUUCACUAAAAUAGGCCAUACGGUUAGUAAAUUAGCCCAUAAUAGCAAGCUAGCAGCUGUGUUGAUUUGGAUCUAAUUCUUUAAUUAAACUCUAUGUCUGAUGAAAUAAUCUUUAGCUUUCUGAGAAAGAAAUGCACGUUGCAAAGAUAGUGCAAUUGAAGGCCAAGUAAGUGCUCUGAGUUUGUCACAUCGGGGCUUGGAAAUCAGCUGCUGCUUCAGGCAGUGGAACAUCCCCAGAGACACCCCACAUGUUCUGCUCUGAUAUCAGCUCUGUCAUGGUGGUAAAAAUCCUUCCUUUUCAGUUCAGACAGGACACUGAUUGAUGAGCAGAAGUUCAAAACUAUUGAUGUGCGCUUUGUAGCUGAGAGCUGCAGAAGACGUUUCCCAUCAAUUCAAUGCCAUCUUUCCAUUUUGGUCCCUAACCCUGACUCGCCUUUCUCGUGCAUCAGACAAAUGCACCCUUGUUGUUUAAGUCCUUUCAUGUUUUAUUUCAUUCUGCCUAAAUUUUCUCCUUAGGAAUUCAAAUAUUAAUUCCUCUGUUUGAAGAAAGAAUAUUGCUAAUCAACGUUACUGACUUGUCAUUGUUUCAAAAGAUACUCUGAAGCUUUCUCAGCUUACAACUGUUGUGAUGAGGAAUAGUUUCUCACAGGCUUUGUGCAAGGGUUUCUCUGUCC